RNAcentral lists this ribosomal RNA (172 nucleotides) under uncultured bacterium. RNAcentral describes it as "partial 16S ribosomal RNA". It matches the Rfam family "Bacterial small subunit ribosomal RNA", at positions 335 to 524 of the family's 1533-position model. The record is from RNAcentral.
AUUCCUACGGGAGGCAGCAGUGAGGAAUCUUCCACAAUGGACGAAAGUCUGAUGGAGCGACACCGCGUGAAGGAUGAAGCCUUUGUUGGUGUAAACUUCUUUUCUCUGGGAAGAUAAUGACGGUACCAGAGGAAUAAGGGGCGGCAAACUUCGUGCCAGCAGCCGCGGUAAU